Molecule: long non-coding RNA, 527 nt
Filed under: Anas platyrhynchos platyrhynchos (common mallard)
Lineage: Eukaryota; Metazoa; Chordata; Aves; Anseriformes; Anatidae
Description: lncRNA (ENSAPLG00000026319.1)
Source: RNAcentral
AUGUUCUGUAUACAAGAAAAUGAAGAGAGUGUACUCAUGACUAAGCACAGGAACCUGGAAAACCACAGGAUUCCUGGGAAGCCAUGGAGGAUGGAACAAACUCAGAGCUGGAGCCUGAAGAGUUCUUGGAACUUGUGUAUGGGAAGUUACCCUGAGCUGUUCUGCAGGGAAGAGGAGUUCUAACCAUCUUUGCCUGGCCAUUACAUUAUUGCUCACCACCUAUUACUUCUGAGUGGGGACCCACUUAGGUAUAACUGGGGAGGAAAAAGCAAGCAGCACUAAGGUCUGUAUGACCAUGUAGUUUUUUAUUAUUGCUUAUUGAGCAAAACUUAGUUAUAUAAACUUAUACAGCUUAUAUGAAUAGCCAUGUUUAAGAUGCCUGAACUGCUUGUGCAGUACAGGUCUGAGUGUACUUACAGCUUUGUUAAACAUUGAGUUCAUUAGUUUGCUCUAACAUAUUUAGAACAGAAAAUGAAAAUGUUAUUGGUACAAAAAUUUUAUGGAGUCUUCCAUUACAUCAAGUGUUC